Molecule: ribosomal RNA, 253 nt
Filed under: uncultured bacterium
Lineage: Bacteria
Description: partial 16S ribosomal RNA
Rfam family: Bacterial small subunit ribosomal RNA
Source: RNAcentral
UACGGAGGGAGCUAGCGUUAUUCGGAAUUACUGGGCGUAAAGCGCACGUAGGCGGCUUUGUAAGUAAGAGGUGAAAGCCCAGAGCUCAACUCUGGAAUUGCCUUUUAGACUGCAUCGCUUGAAUCAUGGAGAGGUCAGUGGAAUUCCGAGUGUAGAGGUGGAAUUCGUAGAUAUUCGGAAGAACACCAGUGGCGAAGGCGGCUGACUGGACAUGUAUUGACGCUGAGGUGCGAAAGCGUGGGGAGCAAACAGG